Quercus robur (English oak) is the source of this 553-nucleotide long non-coding RNA. RefSeq lists it as uncharacterized. The record is from RefSeq and is a predicted model, not a curated record. Lineage: Eukaryota; Viridiplantae; Streptophyta; Magnoliopsida; Fagales; Fagaceae. The transcript has 2 exons.
GGGGCACAUUUGCAUUAGACGAAAUUUUUGAAGAAUGAAGUGGAUUUUAAUCAGAAAGUGUUGAAGCCCAACUAAAGAUUUUUGGCAAAAACAAGUUUGAAGAGAAGCCACUUCAACCUGAUGCAAACUCAAGAGUUACCCUCAAAAUCAAAGGGAUGUUAAUGUAUGUACUGCUAUUCUUGGUAAUGUAGUGGCUGAAAAGCACUUAGCAUCAAAAAAGGAUUAAAGGGAACAUCCUAACAAACCUGCAAGAUAGCUUGAAGGGGAUAUUCUGUGUAGUUGAGGGGGAAUUAGUAGCUAGAAAGUGGAUGGAUUUGGAGACUACUACCUCCGUCUUGGCUCAUCAGAUAUGUACUGAGUACCUACUUUACAAUGAGCAUAAAGCAUGAUAUUAAAUCUAUAUCAAUGAAAAUGGUGUCCUCACACACUAUAUAUAAAAGAAACUGAGGAAACAUUAAAUUUUUAUAGUUAUAUUUUUCCAGUUUCUUUCAUUCCUAUUGUAAUAGAGAGACAGAGCUAAGUUAAACAUGCAAAGGGUUAAACUUUAUUUGAA